This 497-nucleotide ribosomal RNA is filed under the name uncultured bacterium. Its description in RNAcentral is "partial 16S ribosomal RNA". It matches the Rfam family "Bacterial small subunit ribosomal RNA", at positions 28 to 507 of the family's 1533-position model. The record is from RNAcentral.
GAUGAACGCUGGCGGCGUGCCUAAUACAUGCAAGUCGAGCGAACGGACGAGAAGCUUGCUUUUCUGAUGUUAGCGGCGGACGGGUGAGUAACACGUGGAUAACCCACCUAUAAGACUGGGAUAACUUCGGGAAACCGGAGCUAAUACCGGAUAAUAUUUUGAACCGCAUGGUUCAAAAGUGAAAGACGGUCUUGCUGUCACUUAUAGAUGGAUCCGCGCUGCAUUAGCUAGUUGGUAAGGUAACGGCUUACCAAGGCAACGAUGCAUAGCCGACCUGAGAGGGUGAUCGGCCACACUGGAACUGAGACACGGUCCAGACUCCUACGGGAGGCAGCAGUAGGGAAUCUUCCGCAAUGGGCGAAAGCCUGACGGGGCAACGCCGCGUGAGUGAUGAAGGUCUUCGGAUCGUAAAACUCUGUUAUUAGGGAAGAACAUAUGUGUAAGUAACUGUGCACAUCUUGACGGUACCUAAUCAGAAAGCCACGGCUAACUACGUG